ACAUGUUACAACUCUUUUAGAAUUUGUCUAGCAGGACCUCUAGUCUCUCUCAUGAGGCCUUUCCCCA
Molecule: small nuclear RNA, 67 nt
Organism: Erinaceus europaeus (western European hedgehog)
Lineage: Eukaryota; Metazoa; Chordata; Mammalia; Eulipotyphla; Erinaceidae
Gene: U7
Rfam family: U7 small nuclear RNA
About the family: Animal histone pre-mRNAs are spliced by a different mechanism than nuclear pre-mRNAs and self-splicing introns. This processing involves the U7 snRNP, which contains only one RNA species: U7.
Source: Ensembl